AACGAACGCUGGCGGCAUGCCUAACACAUGCAAGUCGAACGAGACCUUCGGGUCUAGUUGCGCACGGGUGCGUAACGCGUGGGAACCUGCCCUUAGGCUCGGAAUAACUCCCCGAAAGGUGUGCUAAUACCGGAUAAUGUCUUCGGACCAACGAUUUAUCGCCUUUGGAUGGGCCCGCGUUGGAUUAGCUAGUUGGUAGGGUAAAAGCAUACCAAGGCGACGAUCCAUAGCUGGUCGGAGAGGAGGACCAGCCACACUGGGACUGAGACACGGCCCACAAUCCUACGCAGGGGAGGAGUGGGGAGUACUGGACAAGGGGGGAAAGCCUGAUGAAGCAGUGCCGCGUGAGUGAGGAAGGCCUUAGGGUUGUAAAGCUCUUUUACCCGGGAUGAUAAUGACAGUACCGGGAGAAUAAGCUCCGGCUAACUACGUG
RNAcentral lists this ribosomal RNA (433 nucleotides) under uncultured bacterium. Its description in RNAcentral is "partial 16S ribosomal RNA". It matches the Rfam family "Bacterial small subunit ribosomal RNA", at positions 29 to 507 of the family's 1533-position model. The record is from RNAcentral.